RNAcentral lists this long non-coding RNA (827 nucleotides) under Amborella trichopoda. Its description in RNAcentral is "long non-coding RNA (ATRI_LNC002555)". Lineage: Eukaryota; Viridiplantae; Streptophyta; Magnoliopsida; Amborellales; Amborellaceae. The record is from RNAcentral.
CUGAUCAGCCUCUGGUUUACCAUUCUCCAUGCUCCAUUUCCAUGUCCUCCCCUUGCCUCGUGUUCAAUCCUUCCAAAGCCUGUGAAAUAGAAAAAGAGUUCCAUGUAUAGUAUUGGCUUCUCAUGCUCCUGUCUCUUCACCUCUACCUUCUGCUCUGGUUGAUUUCUCAAUCUCUAAUGGCCUGAGCAUUGAUCCUGAGCUAUAAAUCCGAGGCCCUCUGUGGUCGAAGGUUCAUAUGAUGCUCUGGCCCAUCUUGGCUUACUCUCACAUGGCUCUCUGGCUUCUUCAUGAUCUCUUCCCCGACUUUCUCAAAUUUACUCUCCAAUUGAUAUUUUUGACAAUUUUCGUUCUUUUCACUGCUAGAGAAAGAUGAACCACAUUUAUGAAGACAUUUGUUUUCUUCAUCGAUUGAGAAAAAUGAAAAACGCGCCUUUGUAUUACCUGCCUCUUUGACAACCACACCUUGGACAUCUUUAAUCGCCGGUAACUUGGAGAAGAAGCUCAUAUCGAGUCCAAUUAACUGCUCAGCUCUAAAAUCCAAGUGAGAAUUUUCAACUCUACAAGAUUUUUUUCUGUCCUUGAAGUUUUCAAAACGGCAAUUAGAACUAAAAUCAGUUCCUGAAAAAGCUCACGAACUGUCCUAGAAAAUUUUUCCUUGAGAAACUGAAAGGCAUGGAUACUGAGCACUGCUUUCAUAUGUAAGGGCAUAAAUAAGGGUAAAUGUAUUGUGCUAGGCUCAUCGCAAAGGUAGUAUGCAACUUUUAUGGAGAUCCAAAUAGAAGGGUGACCCUCUUUGUAUCCUGUAAUGCACCAAGAGGUGAUUGGUC